Molecule: ribosomal RNA, 1059 nt
Filed under: Triticum aestivum (bread wheat)
Lineage: Eukaryota; Viridiplantae; Streptophyta; Magnoliopsida; Poales; Poaceae
Description: partial small subunit ribosomal RNA
Source: RNAcentral
AUGGGCCGGAUCCCGUGCUGCGAGAAGGACAACGUGAAGCGCGGGCAGUGGACGCCCGAGGAGGACAACAAGCUGCUCUCCUACAUCACGCAGCACGGCACGCGCAACUGGCGCCUCAUCCCCAAGAACGCCGGGCUGCAGCGGUGCGGGAAGAGCUGCCGCCUGCGGUGGACCAACUACCUGCGGCCCGACCUCAAGCACGGCGAGUUCACUGACGCCGAGGAGCAGACCAUCAUCAAGCUGCACUCCGUCGUCGGCAACAGGUGGUCGGUGAUCGCGGCCCAGCUGCCGGGGCGGACGGACAACGACGUCAAGAACCACUGGAACACCAAGCUCAAGAAGAAGCUGUCCGGGAUGGGCAUCGAUCCCGUCACGCACAAGUCCUUCUCGCACCUCAUGGCCGAGAUCGCCACCACGCUCGCCCCGCCGCAGGUGGCGCACCUCGCCGAGGCCGCCCUCGGGUGCUUCAAGGACGAGAUGCUCCACCUCCUCACCAAGAAGCGCCCCACCGACUUCCCCUCGCCCGCCAUGCCCGACAUGGCGGCGGGCGCCAGCGCGGGCAUGGCCAUGGGCUCGGGCGCGCACAUCGCGCCCUGCUUCGCCGCGCCGCCACAAGCCGACGACACCAUCGAGCGCAUCAAGAUGGGCCUGUCCCGCGCCAUCAUGAGCGAGCCCGCCGCUCCCGCGGCCGACAAGCCGUGGCCAUCGGGCGACAUGUCCGAGGGGCUGGCCGGCAUGUACGCCGCGUUCAACCCCGCGCAGGCGACGGAGUUCCGGUACGAAGGGACGGCGUCGGGGUACGUCCUUGGGGGCGACGGCGACCAGGGCACGUCGAUGUGGAGCCACCACAGCAUGUACAGCGGGAGCUCCGGCACCGAGGGGGGCAGGCCGGCAUUGCAGGAAAAGGGCAACGACAGUGUCGGCAGCAGCGGCGGCGACGAGGAGGCGGAAGACGGCAAGGAGGGAGGGAAGGGAGCCUCCGACAUGUCGGGGCUGUUUGGAUCCGAUUGCGUACUCUGGGACUUGCCCGACGAGCUGACGAAUCACAUGUGUGACUAA